RNAcentral lists this ribosomal RNA (2440 nucleotides) under Triticum aestivum (bread wheat). RNAcentral describes it as "partial small subunit ribosomal RNA". Lineage: Eukaryota; Viridiplantae; Streptophyta; Magnoliopsida; Poales; Poaceae. The record is from RNAcentral.
GCCUCCUCCGCCGGCUACGCCAAGAUCCCCACCUACCCGCCGCCGCCCUCCUCCUCCUACCCCAACCCCAGCCCCGUCCCGCCCGCCGCCCCGGCCCCGAUCCAGGACCCCACGGCGCCGCCCUCCUCGCUCGCCAAGGCGGCCGAGCUCGUCACGCGGUUCCGGGAGCAGGGCCAGGCGCUCAUCGCCGCGCGCCGCCCCUGGGGGGAGGUCUUCCGCUCCCCCGCCUUCUCCAAGCCGCCCAACGUCGGCGAGGCCGUCUCCCGGAUGCGCCGCAACACGGCCUACUUCCGCGCCAACUACGCGCUCGCCGUCCUCGCCGUCGUCGCCGCCUCGCUACUCUGGCACCCGGGCACCCUCUUCGCGCUCCUCGCGCUCUGCGCCGCCUGGUUCUUCCUCUACUUCGCGCGCCCCGCCGAGGGCGCCCAGCCGCUCCGGGUCUUCGGCACCGAGUUCGACGACGGCACCGUCCUCGCCCUGCUCUCCGGGGUCACCGUCAUCGCCAUGCUCUUCACCGACGUUGGCUGGAACGUCGUCGGUUCGGUCAUGAUCGGGCUCGCCCUCGCGGGCGCGCACGCCGCGCUCAGGUCCACCGACGACCUCUUCCUCACCGAGCAGGAGGCGGCCGGCAACGGCCUCGUGGCCGCAGGCUUCAGCGCUGCUGGACCCAUCUUGCCCACCUAUGUCCGCAUUGGUUGAUUGUGCAGUCUGGCUUGGUGUGAUGGUACUCCAAUCUUCUUUGUUGAACAUUCUGGGUUUGUGUUCUUGUUUGCAAUUGUGCACUGGCAAUUCUGUUUCAUAUAUACGGCACAGUAUCUAUUGCUUCGUGUGUUGGCGUGUAAAAAAAACUAGAUUGGCUUGUGAUCUUAGACUCAAUAGUAAAUUAGUAAUGUGUGCAAUCAUACUAUGAACAUGUUAUACACUUUUCUUCUCAACUGAGUGUAAAGCUGCUAUGUUGAUAAUGGCAAUUGCCAUCCUAUUCUUCACUAUAGUUUGCUGCAAAUGCUAAUGUUGAUGUUCUCGUGCAAUUCGCUUUGUGAAUUUCGCACCUCCUUGUGAUGGAUCAAUCCGCAGAAACCUGUGUUUCUAGAUCUUAGAUUGCCAUGGCAAUGCAAAAAUGCCAAAAACACGUAUAUUCCUGUGUUUCUACUUUCUAGACGAUAGAUUGAUGUCAUCAAGACAUAUGUUCCUGUGUUUGUAGAUGAUAGAUUGCCAUGACAAUGCAAAAGAUGUCAUCAACACAUAUGUUCAUGUGUUUGUUGAUGAUAGAUUGCCAUGACAAUGGAAAAGAUGCCAUCAACACAGCAACCCUGUGUUUCUAGAUGACAGAUUGCGAUGGCAAUGCAAAAGAUGCCAUCAAUACAGCAAUCCUGUGUUUCUAGAUGGCAGAUUGCGAUGGCAAUGCAAAAGAUACUAUCACCACAUAUGCUCGUUAAUGGUUUAUAACGAUCGCUGUAGGCUGCAGCUGAAUGCAUAUUGUUGCUUUCCCUUCAUUUGCCUUUCCUUGACUGAGCAGAGAUGCUGACAAAGGGCUUACGACAGCCGGUAUCAGUGCUCCUGUACCCAUCCUGCCCAGCUACGUCUGUAUUGGUUUGUUGAACAUUGUCGGUUUGUAUUCUUGUUUGCAAUUGUGCAUUGGCAACUCUGGUUCAUAUAUACGGUACAGUAUCUAUUGGUUCGUGUGUUGGCAUGUAAAAAACCUAGAUUGGCUUGUGAUCUUAGACUCAAUAGUAAAUUAGUAAUGUGUGCAAUCAUAUUAUGAACAUAUUAUACACUUUUCUUCUGAACCGAGUGUAAAGUUGUUAUGUUGAUAAUGGCAAUUGCCAUCCUAUUCUUUACUACGUAGUUUGCUGCAAAUGCUAAUAUUGAUGUUCUUGUGCAAUUCGCUUUGUGAAUUUCACAUCUCCUUUGCGAUGGAUCAGUCUCCAGAAUCCCGCGUUUCUAGAUGUUAGAUUGCCAUUAACACAUAUGUUCCCGUGUUUCUAGACGAUAGAUUGAUGUCAUCAACACAUAUGUUCCUGUGUUUGUAGAUGAUAGAUUGCCAUGAGAAUGCAUAAGAUGCCAUCAACGCAGGAAUUCUGUGCUUCUAGAUGGUAGAUUGCCAUGGCUCUUUUAAUCUCUUUAAUGAUUUAAUGAUUGCUGUAGGCUGCAGCUGAAUGCAUGUUGUUGCUCUCCUUCAUUUGCCUUUUUUCUUGACCGAGCAGGAGACGCUGGCAAUGUGCUUAUGGCAGCUGGUAUCAGUGCCGCGGUACUGAUCGUGCCCACCUACGUUUGUAUUGGUUGAUUGGGCAUCCCUUGCACCCAGUCUUUGUUCAAUAUUCUUGCUGUUCUUUGUUUGCAAUUGUGAAUUGGCAAUUCUGUUUUAUAUAUGGCACAGUAUCUAUUCGUUUGUCCGAUGGCUGUGUAAAAAUACUAGAUUGGUUUGUGAAGUUAAGACUCG